CCUACGGGGGGCAGCAGUGAGGAAUAUUGGUCAAUGGACGAGAGUCUGAACCAGCCAAGUAGCGUGAAGGAUGACUGCCCUAUGGGUUGUAAACUUCUUUUAUAUGGGAGUAAAAUGUUCCACGUGUGGGAUUUUGUCUGGACCAUAUGAAUAAGGAUCGGCUAACUCUGUGCCAGCAGCCGCGGUAAUACGGAGGAUCCGAGCGUUAUCCGGAUUGAUUGGGUUUAAAGGGAGCGUAGGUGGAUUGUUAAGUCAGUUGUGAAAGUUUGCGGCUCAACCGUAAAAUUGCAGUUGAAACUGGCAGUCUUGAGUACAGUAGAGGUGGGCGGAAUUCGUGGUGUAGCGGUGAAAUGCUUAGAUAUCACGAAGAACUCUGAUUGCGAAGGCAGCUCACUGGACUGCAACUGACACUGAGGCUCGAAAGUGUGGGUAUCAAACAGGAUUAGAUACCCGGGUAGUC
Molecule: ribosomal RNA, 460 nt
Filed under: uncultured bacterium
Lineage: Bacteria
Description: partial 16S ribosomal RNA
Rfam family: Bacterial small subunit ribosomal RNA
Source: RNAcentral